Molecule: long non-coding RNA, 162 nt
Organism: Phyllostomus discolor (pale spear-nosed bat)
Lineage: Eukaryota; Metazoa; Chordata; Mammalia; Chiroptera; Phyllostomidae
Exons: 3
Source: RefSeq, a predicted model, not a curated record
CAGAUGGCCAAUAGACAUAUGGAAAGAUGCUCAGGGUCACUAAUUAUCAGAUAUGCAAAUUAAAACCACAAUCAGAUAUUACCUUACAUCUGUUGGAAUGGCUAUCCUCAAUAAAUCAGCAACCAGCAAGUGUUGGUAAGGAUGUGAAGAAAAGGGAACCCU